AAUAAUAAUAAAAAUGACAUUCAGAAAAAUUUGGAUGCGUUUUAAAACAUUAGGGGAGUUUUGCUCUUUUUCCCCUUAUAUAUGUGUAGAAGAUUUUGUUGAGAUGUCUAGCUAAUUGCAUAAUUUAUCUCAUUUUUGUGUACUAUUGUUAGCGGACUAUUUGCUGUCGUUAAUUAUUAGGAGGGGAAUUAAAUCAUGUUACCAGAACUAUGUAUUCAUGAGAAUGAAGAUAGUGGAAUGCAAGCGUUUAGAAAAUCAUGAUAAUCUGUUAGGCAUAAAUUCUCAAGAUUUAAAAUGGACAAGAACCAUUUUUAUUACGUAAUGAAUAUUGAACUCCACCAUGAACUUAAUCAAGCUUAUUCCAAUUAAAUGAUAAAUUGAUAGGUUAAAAGCUCGUUUAGUCCAUAUAUUUUGAAGUUAGUGUCCGUUUAGUCCCUAUAUUUUUAAAAAUACCUCAAACCAUCCCUACCAUUAAAUUAUUUACACUUUUACCAUUAUCUUUUGUUCCUUUUAACUUAUUUUUAUAAUAUUGCCC
Molecule: long non-coding RNA, 535 nt
Filed under: Citrus x clementina
Lineage: Eukaryota; Viridiplantae; Streptophyta; Magnoliopsida; Sapindales; Rutaceae
Description: Citrus clementina (C. clementina) long non-coding RNA (CCLE_LNC003854)
Source: RNAcentral